GCAGCGGCUUGGGCGCGCAGAGCGGCCGCGGCUCCCCCGCACCUGCGGCCAUGGAUGAGGAGCGCGCCCUCUACAUCGUCCGGGCUGGCGAAGCGGGGGCUAUCGAGCGGGUCCUGAGGGAUUACAGCGACAAGCAUAGGGCUACUUUCAAAUUUGAAUCAACAGAUGAAGAUAAAAGAAAGAAACUCUGUGAAGGCAUAUUUAAAGUCCUCAUAAAGGACAUCCCAACAACAUGUCAAGUGUCCUGCCUGGAAGUACUCCGCAUUCUCUCCAGAGACAAAAAGGUUUUAGUUCCUGUAACAACUAAGGAAAAUAUGCAGAUACUGCUGCGACUAGCGAAGCUAAAUGAGUUAGAUGAUUCUUUGGAGAAAGUAUCAGAGUUCCCAGUUAUUGUGGAGUCAUUAAAAUGUCUGUGUAAUAUAGUGUUCAACAGUCAGAUGGCACAGCAGCUCAGCCUGGAACUUAAUCUUGCUGCAAAGCUCUGUAACCUCCUGAGAAAGUGCAAGGACCGGAAAUUUAUCAAUGACAUUAAGUGCUUUGACUUGCGCUUGCUCUUCCUUCUGUCACUUUUGCACACCGACAUCAGGUCACAAUUGCGCUAUGAGCUCCAGGGACUACCGCUGCUAACCCAGAUCUUGGAAAGUGCCUUUAGCAUCAAGUGGACCGAUGAGUAUGAAUCGGCCAUAGACCAUAACGGACCUCCUCUCUCACCUCAGGAGACGGACUGUGCCAUUGAGGCCCUCAAAGCUCUCUUCAAUGUGACGGUAGACAGUUGGAAGGUGCAUAAAGAGAGUGAUUCUCAUCAGUUCCGUGUAAUGGCAGCUGUCCUUCGUCAUUGUUUACUAAUCGUAGGUCCAACUGAAGACAAAACAGAAGAGCUACACAGCAAUGCAGUCAACCUUUUAAGCAAUGUUCCGGUCUCUUGUUUGGAUGUUCUCAUUUGUCCGUUAACCCAUGAAGAAACAGCCCAAGAGGCAACGACUCUAGAUGAACUGCCCAGUAAUAAAACAGCCGAGAAAGAAACAGUUUUGAAAAACAAUACCAUGGUAUACAAUGGUAUGAAUAUGGAGGCCAUUCAUGUUUUACUCAAUUUUAUGGAGAAGAGAAUAGACAAGGGAAGCAGCUAUAGAGAGGGUCUAACUCCAGUUCUCAGCUUAUUAACCGAAUGUUCCCGAGCCCAUCGAAACAUCCGAAAAUUUCUCAAAGAUCAGGUUUUACCACCGUUGAGGGAUGUGACAAAUCGACCUGAAGUUGGCUCAACUGUGAGAAAUAAGCUGGUGCGCCUCAUGACACAUGUUGACCUUGGAGUCAAGCAAAUUGCUGCUGAAUUCCUUUUUGUCCUUUGCAAAGAGAGAGUGGAUAGUCUGCUGAAAUACACUGGCUAUGGGAAUGCUGCAGGACUGUUGGCGGCCAGGGGCCUCUUGGCUGGAGGAAGAGGAGAUAAUUGGUACUCAGAGGACGAGGACACAGACACUGAAGAAUACAAAAAUGCAAAACCAAACAUUAAUCUUAUCACUGGUCAUUUAGAGGAACCAAUGCCAAACCCCAUAGAUGAAAUGACAGAAGAACAAAAAGAAUAUGAAGCCAUGAAACUUGUCAACAUGCUUGAUAAACUUUCCAGGUAUUGUAUUCCCAUCCAUUUUUUGCUUGGUUUCUAAAAAUGGUCUAUUUCUUUGUCUCUCUCACUGAGAGUUACCAUAGAACAGCAACUCUGGAAAUCCAUGUUGAUUGGAAUAGGGUGGCUCAGGCAGCAGUAGUUCAGCUAGCUCUUGGCUACCAUGGUUUUUCUACAUGUGCCGCUUCUGGAUGUGCAUUCCUAAACAUUUAAACUCUCAAAGCUAAGAUAGUAACUACCAGCGCACUAUAAUAAUUAACCAACUAACCUCCCUGUCUUCAAAAAGAUGCUGUGAGUUAGAUUCAGUGAUUUUGCUGCUGCUUUUAUUUUUGUUUUAGCCUGUUUUAGUUUUUGUUUCAAAUCACGAUGCUUUUAUUUUUUCAUUUUUGAUGUGUAAGUUUGCAAUUACGCCUUUUUGGGUUGCUGCUGAAACCAAGAAUUCUAAAAUGUCAUGCACCCAAUAAGAAAAAGUGAAAAGAAAUAGCUCACAUGAAGGAUUUUCUGAAAACAGGGACUUGUAUUAAUUAGGAGUUCUAAAAAAAAAAAAAAAAAAACUCCCCUUCCCCUCUUGCUUCUCACCUCCUUCCCCUUCAAAAAUAACCAGUUUUGAAAAUAAUUAAAUCAAGUAUAUACUAAUCAGCAACUAGUCAUCUUGGAAGAGUUAUUAGAAAAUAAUUCCUUUCAUACUUGGCUGAAUCACUCUAUUUUCUAGUCAUACAUUGAGUCACUAUCUUCUUUAAGCCAUCUUGAAUGAAUGCUUCUGUGUGUUGGUGGCAGCUGCCACUUAAAGAUGAAUUUCUUCUGGCCAUCUCCUUUUUCACAGUAACUAUGUAAAGGCUAGUAUCCCUCAGUCAAAAGAAGGAGCCAUUGGAAUGGAAAAGCCAGAGAGCCAACCAUGAAAGGGAAAGGUGGAACACAGAAACAAGCAGAGAUUAAGGGCACAGCAGAGGCUUAGGGUAGAAAUGGACAAGAACAAGAGACUGACAUGGGGAGUGUGACAAGUAUGGAUAUUUAUCCAUGCUGCAGAGUAUGAUGCUGGUAAUGUGGUAGAAGUUGUUUAGGAGUAAAUAGCUUAAUUAUCUACAAAGCUAAUAAGACUAGAACUCAGUAACUUCCAGCUAGCCCUUUUAAAUUUUCAUCCUUUCUCAAGAAGGUUAGAAUUUACAGCUAACUGACUAUACUCACAAUCUUGAAAAGACAUUGUUGCCUCUUUGCAAAUUACAUUCUCCAUACCUUUGUAUAGAACAGAAAUGUUCCCUCCCAGAAGGGAUUAAUAGGCACAGAGAAGAUACCGAUACGGCAAACCUAUAGGAGGCAGAAUAAGAUCAAAAUGAACAUAUAAAGAUAAGAUGGGUACUUGGCCACUUCCAGGAGGAGCUGAUGUAGCUAAUGAAACACAGGGGUAUAAAAACAACAGGAUAAGAACCAACAGAGUCAGGCCGGGCAUGGUGGCUUACGCCUGUAAUCCCAGCACAUUGGGAGGCCGAGGCAGGCGGAUCACCUGAGGUCAGGAGUUCGAGACCAGCCUGACCAACAUGGAGAAACCCUGUCUCUACUAAAAAUACAAAUUUAGCCGGGCGUGGUGGCACAUGCCUGUAAUCCCAGCCACUCAGGAGGCUGAGGCAGGAGACUCGCUUGAACCCGGGAGGCAGAGGUUGCGGUGAACCAAGGUCGCACCAUUGCACUCCAGCCUGGUCAAACAAGAACAAAACUCUGUCUCAAAAAAAAAAAAAACCCAACAGAGUCCAUCUGGUAGAAACUGGAGAGGAAGGGUUAGCAAGGACCUGAGUAGAACACAUUAGUGUGUUAGGACAGUAAACCAGUUGCAUAAAUUUCAUAUUCUGACCAACAACAUGAGUUUUUAAAGCUUAACACAAAUGCCGUUUAACUGGGCCAUCUACCCUCGAUGAGUAAACUCCAAGUAGGGAAAUGGAAGAUAGGGGAAAUAACUGCCUAAGACUACACAGUAUAAUCCAGAUACUUGGCUUACUAAUAGAGGAACUACCAUUUCAUAAGGCAUCUCUAUCACAGGCACAGAAAACAAAGGUGCUAGGUCCUUCUCCUUUUAAUCUCAGGGGAAUCCACAUAUUCUAGAAGCUGCCAACAAAUAAAUAUACAAACAUCAAGUCUGAAACACCCCAGCUUCCACCUGAUUUAAACUAUGCCUCAAAGAAGAUGCCUACUUAUCCGGAAAUACCCAGCAGAUGCCCAACUGAAGGAGAGCAGAUGUGAAGGACCUGCACCAGGAUGGUGGUUAGCAACAGUGGCCCGUGCCAAAGCACUUACCAAAGUGAUGAUGACUAAG
RNA transcript from Symphalangus syndactylus (siamang), 3920 nucleotides. It is a transcript of the gene named RIC8 guanine nucleotide exchange factor B, with no coding region annotated. The record is from RefSeq and is a predicted model, not a curated record. NCBI's taxonomy places the organism in Eukaryota, Metazoa, Chordata, Mammalia, Primates, Hylobatidae.